GACGAACGCUGGCGGCGUGCUUAACACAUGCAAGUCGAACGGUAAGGCCCUUCGGGGUACACGAGUGGCGAACGGGUGAGUAACACGUGGGUGAUCUGCCCUGCACUUCGGGAUAAGCCUGGGAAACUGGGUCUAAUACCGGAUAGGACCAUUGCCUGCAUGGGUGGUGGUGGAAAGCUUUUGCGGUGUGGGAUGGGCCCGCGGCCUAUCAGCUUGUUGGUGGGGUGAUGGCCUACCAAGGCGACGACGGGUAGCCGGCCUGGGGGGGUGACCGGCCACACUGGGACUGAGAUACGGCCCAGACUCCUACGGGAGGCAGCAGUGGGGAAUAUUGCACAAUGGGCGCAAGCCUGAUGCAGCGACGCCGCGUGAGGGAUGACGGCCUUCGGGUUGUAAACCUCUUUCAGCAUCGACGAAGCGCAAGUGACGGUAGGUGCAGAAGAAGGACCGGCCAACUACGUGCCAGCAGCCGCCGUAA
Molecule: ribosomal RNA, 478 nt
Filed under: uncultured bacterium
Lineage: Bacteria
Description: partial 16S ribosomal RNA
Rfam family: Bacterial small subunit ribosomal RNA
Source: RNAcentral